Non-coding RNA from Acanthosepion pharaonis, 99 nucleotides. Lineage: Eukaryota; Metazoa; Mollusca; Cephalopoda; Sepiida; Sepiidae. The record is from the annotation of a GenBank genome assembly.
ACGGUUACAUCACAUUGAAACACCUGUUCCCGUACGAUCCCCAAAGUUAAGUAACUUCGAACCUGGUCAGUACAUAGAUGAGUGACCGCUUAGGAAUAC